GAGGCUGGAGCCUCCACAUCUAUGACUCUGCAAUUGGGUGGCCUGUGCUCUGUUCUUAUCCAUCUCUGCCUCUUCUUUCCAUGGCCUUGCAGAGCCCCAUGAAUCCACACCCUCUCUCUCGCCCCAGUGUCUCAAAAUCCCUUAAUAGGACACAAAAAUAUAUAUCAAACCUCAUGUCUUGUAGCUCUGGUCCCAAAUAAUUGUGUGUAGAACCAGACACGAGCUGCCUAACUUACUUUUCUUUUGAGUGAGAUAACGAAGAAGACAGGAGGAACGUGAGAAAGGGAUGGGAUCCGUCCAUUGAUACUUGCAAUAAAAAAACAACCUUUUACUUGGUUUCGCUUUUAAAAGGAUUGUGAAGGUACACCGCCAUCAGUUUUUCCCGUCAUCUUCAGCACUGGAGGCUCGCCCUGAAGAGGGAGUCCCUGAAUAUGAUGAUACAGUUUAAGUCCGAUGGCAAGAAAAUUGAUUUCUUUUAUGAAGCACUCAAAUUUUUGUACCUUUCAUGUUCAAUCUAUG
RNAcentral lists this long non-coding RNA (519 nucleotides) under Populus tremula. Its description in RNAcentral is "long non-coding RNA (PTRE_LNC002000)". The record is from RNAcentral. Lineage: Eukaryota; Viridiplantae; Streptophyta; Magnoliopsida; Malpighiales; Salicaceae.